This 145-nucleotide unclassified non-coding RNA is filed under the name soil metagenome. RNAcentral's name for it is "partial internal transcribed spacer 1". The record is from RNAcentral.
UAAUAAGCGUUUUAUGGCACUUUUUAAAUCCAUAUCCACCUUGUGUGCAAUGUCAGUCGAUCUUCUUCAUGGAGAUCGACCAAACAUCAACCUUUAUCUUUUAACUCUUUGUCUGAAAAAUAUUAUGAAUAAACAAUUCAAAAUA